GCGACAGUCGUAUAGCGGUUAUUACCCGAGCUUCCCAAGCUCGUGAUGAGGGUUCGACUCCCUUCUGUCGCU
This is a transfer RNA of 72 nucleotides. It matches the Rfam family "tRNA". From Rfam's summary of the family: Transfer RNA (tRNA) molecules are approximately 80 nucleotides in length. Their secondary structure includes four short double-helical elements and three loops (D, anti-codon, and T loops). The record is from Rfam.